This 2978-nucleotide long non-coding RNA is filed under the name Trifolium pratense (red clover). RNAcentral's name for it is "long non-coding RNA (TPRA_LNC009270)". Lineage: Eukaryota; Viridiplantae; Streptophyta; Magnoliopsida; Fabales; Fabaceae. The record is from RNAcentral.
UUUUAGUUUGAUUUAGAUAGAAAGAAUUAUUGUCAUUCUUUGAAUUCCUUAAUUUAGUGAGAAUUGGUGAGGUACAUAGCUUUGAUUGUAAAAGUGAGCACUCAAAGUGUUUGUGAAAAUGUCUCAAUAUGAAAAUUGAUGGUUUUGUGGUCUUAUUUUUUGUGCUUUACUAAACCAUCAUUUAUAUGCAAUUAGUGAAAGAAUUAGUGAAAACUGAUAAUUUGUUAGCUUUUACUUCAGUAACUUUAAGUAUUUAUAAAAAUGGUCUCUUCUCCAUCGUAUUUUUUUAAUGAUUUAUUUAAACACUUUGACAGGAAAAAAAAGAAGAGAAAGAAUAUUUCCCCUUUCUACUUGCUGUUCAUCUCUUCCAUCUCUCCAUCUUCACAAAAACUUCCAUUUUGGUGAAAAAUAAAAAAAGUUGUGCAAAUUUGACUAAUUUACCAAUGCUUUCAAAUUUCAAAAUCCCUCCAAAAAUUUCAAAAACAACUAUUAUCUUUGUGACUAUUCUCUUUCCUCCAUUUCAUCUACAAGGAUUCUCCCUCUUUGUUUUUUUUCUUUUUCUCAUCCAUCUCUGUUUUUCACCUUACAAUAAGGAACGAAGAAGCAGUGCAGUGGCGACCUCCAGUUUGAGGGUAAGGGUUUCCAAAUUUUGUCUUCUUUUAAUCUGAUAUUGCUUCUUCCUUCUACUCACAUCAUAUUUUAUUUGUGCAUAUGUCGACUCAGAGUUUGGUGGUUGAUGAAAGUGGUAUGUCAUUUAACAUUCCAAGUUUGAGUUUUUAUUUAUUGUUAAUUAUAAUUUCUACAAGUUUAUAUUGCUUCUGUUUGUGUUUAUUUUUCCAUAAAAUAAUAUAACUUUGGAUCUAUGGGUUUUAUUGUUCAUUAGAUGAUUUUGUUGUUUUUUAAAUGCAGAGAUUUUGUUGAUUUUCAAAGUUGGAUCCUUUACCGCUAGAAAAGGCAGACAAACAGGGGUAAGAGCUUAAUUUUUUUGCUAAUGAUAAUUAUUUUCAUGUUUCUUCAUCAAAUUGUAGUUUCAAAUCAUAUCAUUUAUGAAUUUUGGAUAUGCAAUUUCAUAAAUCAAUUGAAGUGUAAAUGUUGCUGCAGUUUUUGAAUUUAUUCUCCACUUAAUUGGUGCAAUUCCACAUCAAACACUUUUGUAGCACAAGCAAAAGCUAGAUAUAAUAACAAAACGAGGUGUAGUCUUGGCUAAAAAAAGGUAUAUACUAGAUCUAAUUUUUUUUCUUCCAUUCAUAUAACAAUCUUGGCUAACAAAUGAUAUGAGUUUUGAGCUUUGAUAAUAGAUUGCUAUCUGCAUAUCUAAUAAGUUUAUGACUAAUAUCAGUAGAUUACUAUACUGCAAUAGGCAGAUUAUUUUUAAGACAGACAUUAUAGCAUGUUAUCACGAUUAAUGUUCUUACUUUUCAUUUUAUUUCUCAAUUUAAGCCAUUAAUAGCUUUUAUAUAGAUGAUAGUUUCUUUGAAUGUGAAUAUUUUGUUCACCUGUGUUAAUGAUUUCAUGGUUCAUACUGACAAAUUACUCUCAUGAUUUCAUGGAGGAAGGAGCAGCAAAGCCAGAUUUAGCACACACAUGUGCAUAUACUUUUAUCUAUUUUUUGGUAUUUCAAGGACCAACCAUGUGUAUAGUCACUGCUUGGAGGUUUAUAUAUCUAUUUUCUCUUGAAUUUGUAACUUUUAGAUACGUUUUUGAGAUUACCAAACCUUAAAUUAAUUUCCUCCAAUAUUUGAUAUGUGAUAAUUUUAGACCUGAUGUUUUUUCCCCUCUGUCUGUCUUUAUGCCUUUUCUUUAUCAGUAAUUUUUUAUUUUGAAUUUGGGAUUCUAUUAGCUAGCUUAGGUUUUGAAUUUGUAAUAUGAAUUAGCUCACUUAAGUUGUAGCAUGAAAACAAUUUCAAAUUAGGAAACAUUUUAUUAGGAGAAUUGUUGCUCUGUCAUUGUGUGUGAUAUGACAGACCAGAAAAUUAUUUGGAAUCUUUCCCUUCUUUCUUAGUUUGAACUCUCUUCCUUACUCAACUUCGCAAAAAGACCCAUUUUAGUGAAUAUGUCUACUCUGCCAAAUUGCAAGCAUGAACAAAUUCAAAUGUCUAAAUCCCUCCAAAAAUUUCAAAAACAAUGCUCAACAAUAGGCAAUAGCAGCCGUAAAGUACAAAGAUUCUGUCAAACUUCUCUCUCCUCUUCCCCAUACUCAUUCCUUUGAAAAUUCAAAUCCAAGAUUCUCUGACACUUCUCUCUCACCAAAUUGUUCAAAUUUUCUUUGUAUGGAUUUUACAUGUAUAAGCAUGAAGAUACUUUUAAUAGGGUAAAUUAAUGUGUGCAUUUUUUUUUAGGUUUACGAAAUUUCUCAAAUAUCAAUUGAAAAUUUGGUUUGGAUUUUGGUGUUGUUUGAUUCUGGUGUUAUGAAGCACACUACAUUUAGUAGUUCUCUCCUUCUCCUCACCAUUUAGUAGUUGUUGGAUUUUGGUGUUAUUUGACUUUGAACUUGGAUAAUUGAAUUGAAAACUUUACCUGACUACUAUUUCUUUAUUCUUGGUUAUAUUUUGAUUCAACAAUAUGAUUAAGUUCAUUAAUAUUAUGAUUUGUUUCUAUCUUUUAGUUAAUAAUCCAUACUUCUUAGGAGUUGUUAGUGGGAUGAUUCUGAGUAUCAGCAACAUAAACAUUCCCUCUAUCAUCCAUGGUGAUGCCUUUAGGAAAAUUAAACCGAGCAUCACUUUGUUUUCCAUACACAUUACCAAGUGAAUCAAAAUAAAAUCAUUAUGAUUUUAAUUAAUCCAAAAUUCUACUUGUGAGAUAACUUUCAUCUAUUAAUGUUAUUGUCAGAAACAUAAUAGUUAUAUACAUAAUUAUAAAUAUUAAUUGAAGUUAAAUAGUUCACAAAUCACUCCCCUUAGUUAGACACCGUGAAAUGUGAGAGAAAACACUUCAGGAUAUUCUCAUGAAUCAUGAUUCAUGCAUGAUGUAUGUNNNNN